GACGAACGCUUGCGGCGUGCUUAACACAUGCAAGUCGAACGGAAAGGCCCUGCUUUUGUGGGGUGCUCGAGUGGCGAACGGGUGAGUAACACGUGGGUAACCUGCCCUUGACUUUGGGAUAACUUCAGGAAACUGGGGCUAAUACCGGAUAGGAGCUCCUGCUGCAUGGUGGGGGUUGGAAAGUUUCGGCGGUUGGGGAUGGACUCGCGGCUUAUCAGCUUGUUGGUGGGGUAGUGGCUUACCAAGGCUUUGACGGGUAGCCGGCCUGAGAGGGUGACCGGCCACAUUGGGACUGAGAUACGGCCCAGACUCCUACGGGAGGCAGCAGUGGGGAAUAUUGCACAAUGGGCGGAAGCCUGAUGCAGCAACGCCGCGUGCGGGAUGACGGCCUUCGGGUUGUAAACCGCUUUCGCCUGUGACGAAGCGUGAGUGACGGUAAUGGGUAAAGAAGCACCGGCUAACUACGUGCCAGCAGCCGCGGUGAUACGUAGGGUGCGAGCGUUGUCCGGAUUUAUUGGGCGUAAAGGGCUCGUAGGUGGUUGAUCGCGUCGGAAGUGUAAUCUUGGGGCUUAACCCUGAGCGUGCUUUCGAUACGGGUUGACUUGAGGAAGGUAGGGGAGAAUGGAAUUCCUGGUGGAGCGGUGGAAUGCGCAGAUAUCAGGAGGAACACCAGUGGCGAAGGCGGUUCUCUGGGCCUUUCCUGACGCUGAGGAGCGAAAGCGUGGGGAGCGAACAGGCUUAGAUACCCUGGUAGUCCACGCUGUAAACGGUGGGUACUAGGUGUGGGGUCCAUUCCACGGGUUCCGUGCCGUAGCUAACGCUUUAAGUACCCCGCCUGGGGAGUACGGCCGCAAGGCUAAAACUCAAAGGAAUUGACGGGGCCCCGCACAAGCGGCGGAGCAUGCGGAUUAAUUCGAUGCAACGCGUAGAACCUUACCUGGGUUUGACAUGGAUCGGGAGUGCUCAGAGAUGGGUGUGCCUCUUUUGGGGUCGGUUCACAGGUGGUGCAUGGCUGUCGUCAGCUCGUAUCGUGAGAUGUUGGGUUAAGUCCCGCAACGAGCGCAACCCUUGUUCACUGUUGCCAGCACGUUAUGGUGGGGACUCAGUGGAGACCGCCGGGGUCAACUCGGAGGAAGGUGGGGAUGACGUCAAGUCAUCAUGCCCCUUAUGUCCAGGGCUUCACGCAUGCUACAAUGGCUGGUACAGAGAGUGGCGAGCCUGUGAGGGUGAGCGAAUCUCGGAAAGCCGGUCUCAGUUCGGAUUGGGGUCUGCAACUCGACCUCAUGAAGUCGGAGUCGCUAGUAAUCGCAGAUCAGCAACGCUGCGGUGAAUACGUUCCCGGG
This 1343-nucleotide ribosomal RNA is filed under the name uncultured bacterium. Its description in RNAcentral is "16S ribosomal RNA". It matches the Rfam family "Bacterial small subunit ribosomal RNA", at positions 28 to 1378 of the family's 1533-position model. The record is from RNAcentral.